AUGAAAAGACGCAAAUGGGUGGGGAACCCCAGAUGUUCCUUCUGUCAGAACAGAGAAACUUCUCAACAUCUCUUCUUCACCUGUCCAGUUGCAAGGGUGGUUUGGAGAACGGUUGGCUGUGUGUUUGGCACAGAUUUGUGCCCGGAUAACAUAUGGCAAUAUUUCUCUUGGUGCUAUACUUUCUUACCUGAUGGUGUCAUAUUCUAUACUUUUGGCCUAGCUGCGAUCUGCUGGGCCAUGUGGAUUUGUCGUAAUAGGGCCACUUUCGAAGGCAAAAAGUUGAGAUCCCCUUUUGAUGUGGUCUUUUCUGCAUGUGGCUACAUGAACUACUGGGCAGGUCUGAUGGUGGGAGCUGAUCGAGAGGCGAUGGAGCGCGGCGCUAAGAUGCUCAAGACCAACACUGCUGCCAUGAUGAGGAUUUGUGCAGCCCCAGCUAGAUCAGCGAUGGACUAA
RNAcentral lists this ribosomal RNA (453 nucleotides) under Triticum aestivum (bread wheat). RNAcentral describes it as "partial small subunit ribosomal RNA". Lineage: Eukaryota; Viridiplantae; Streptophyta; Magnoliopsida; Poales; Poaceae. The record is from RNAcentral.